CAGAGUUGCAAGAUUCCCUAAACCAUUGUGAACCUACCUUCUACCGUUGCUUCGGCGGGCGGGCCCAGCGCCCCCCCGGCCCCCCGCGGGCGCCCGCCGGAGGAUACCCAAACUCUUGACAUUAGUGGCCUCUCUGAGUAUUCUUUACUGAAUAAGUCA
Molecule: unclassified non-coding RNA, 159 nt
Filed under: soil metagenome
Description: partial internal transcribed spacer 1
Source: RNAcentral